CAGGUCGGUGCCGAGCUGGGUGAAGCCGGAGUUGAGGCAGCCGCGGGCUAUGCGCCUCCAGAGGACGUCGCGGCUAGUGAAGAAGCGCAGGCGACGGCAGACCUGGCCCAGGCGGCCCAAGGCCUGCGCGUCCAGGGAUGGCGGUUCCAGGUAGCCAGAGCAUGUGCUGCACCACCUGGAGAAGCCCCUGCUGGGCGCAGCACCCCUGCGAAGGAAGGUGAAGAGCAAGGAGCCUGGAGUACUGACAGCACAGAAUGAUCCUGAUCCAAAGUGGCAAAGCUGCUCUCCACAGACAGUGGAGCAGGAAAAUAUGAGUAUAGUGUUGUUAUUCAUUCCUAUAGCAUUUUCCACUCUACGGAAGACUGAAGUGUUUGAGGAGAUUUCUCCCUCAAAAUUAAAUGAUAAAUAAAUUGUAAGAAGUUCAUUAUCUGCCUAGAAUGCUUUGCACAGGUAUCACUUAUCCACCACAGACUGCAUCUCCUCUUGCACAGUGGAGUAGGAAAAUAAAUUUCAGCGUAUAAUGAGGUUACCAUAGCAGACAGGCCUUUAGACAGUACUUAUGUUGUGUUCCACAAAGUCAUCUUGUCUGUACAGUCUCAAGCAUUCCAGUAUCCACAGGACUAAAUCACCAGCUCUGGAAGCCUUGUAUUCUAGAGGUUCAGAGCUGCUGGCUGAGGAACUGUCCGGCCCAUUUACAUUGGGUUUUAAUACAACCUGGAACUCAGGGAAGUUCCAGAAGACCAGAAGGCAAAUAUUUUAUCAGCAUUUAUAAUGAGCGAAUCAGAUGGCCUAAGUAAUUAAAAGAUUUCUCAGCCUAAGUUUUUUCUCAGGUAAAAUAACAGCACAUCUGGUACAGAACUUAAGUAGCCAGUUGAAAGGGAGGUAAUAUAAUGAACAUCACUUAAGAUGAGUUUACGGAAAAUUGGCAUGAAUGCAGUUUUGUAUCAAAUUAACUUGGUAUCUUUUUGAUGACAUUAAAUGUAAGUAAAUAUAAUUAACUUUUUUGUAGUCAACUGACAGUGUUUGAAACAUUAAAUAUAUUAAAAGCCAAAUAACUUCUCAGUCUUAAGUUGUUAGUGCAAGUAUAGAUUUUAUCAUCAAGUUGGUCUUUUAUAGUGGGUCCCACAGAGACAGUUUGUUGACCCUACAUGAUUUAAUAUUUUUAUUAGUGACCUAAAAAAAAAUCUGAAAUUGUUAUUAGCAAGGCUCUGUAGAAAGCAUAAAGCCUGAGGGAAGAGUAAAUCAUGCAAAGGAUGCUCAUGGCUGCAGAACUCCAUGUUAAGUUCAGGCAUAAUCAGAUUGUAUGUAUUUCAAUCAAGCCAAAUGUAAAGUCUCACAUCUAGGAACAAAGAAUGUAGGUCACACUGAAAGGAUGUAACUCUAUCCUGCAAAGCUGCAAUUCCGUAAAGUCUUCAUUAAGAUGAAUAAUCAGUUGAACGUGAGCUCCUUCUGCAGUGCUGUGACCAAAGGGCUAGUGCUGUCUUGGGAAACAAACAAGAGCUGGGAGGUUCUUUUAGCUCUGGUUUUGACUCUGUUGUGGCUGCUUUGGAAAUAAUUUGUCCUGCCAACAUUUCAAGAAGGAUGUUGAAAAACUAGAGGGGUUUCAAAGAAGAGUAGCAAGAAUGAUUACAGGACUGUCAAACAUGUUUUAUAGUGAGACCCAAAGUGCUCAGUCUAUUUAGCUUUCUAAAGGGAAGGUUAAGGUGCGAGUUGAUCUUACCUUAUGAGCACUUAAACAGGGGAAGAAAAAUCUGGUAAUAGCAGGCUCUUCAAUCUACCAGACAAAGAGAUAAGAGCUAUGAACAGAAGGUGAUGGGAAACAUAUUCAUGAAUGAAGCACAUUUUUGUAGUAAAGAAAAUUGCCUGUUUAAACAGCUUAUCAAGGUUUGUGGUAGUUCACCAUUACGGGAUUUUUUAAAAACAAUAUCAGCUUUUUUUUUUCCCCUCAGAGAUACAGUCUGGCUGUAUCUUUAUCUGGCUAUAUCAUUAAGGGUAAGAUCCCAGUGUACAAUAGCCUUCAGUCUGUGCCAGUGCCACUUCACCAAGAAAACUGCUUAAUGCACUUUGAAAGGAGUCGGGCUGCAAAGUAACAUGUGCAAUGUGGCCUACUGGGAGACCGAGACCGAGGCGUGGACAAGUGCAUCUGUAGAAGUGGUCCCAUAGUGCCUUGAGGUCUCUGACCCAAGGGUAAAAAACUAUUAAAGAUUUGGAUCAGAUGAAACAUCUGUUUGCAUGCAGUAAUUGUGGAAGGGACCAGAUAUGAUCCAGACAGGAGGCACAAACAGUAGUAUGAAGAAAACAAUGAGAUACGUUGCUCUUAAAUAUAAGCUUUGUUUUCUAGUGCAGCUAAUUGCCUGACAAGGUAGUAACAAUGAUUAAUCUUCACCAAAACAUGGAUAUCACCAUCAAUUAUUUUCUUUAUUUUUGAGACUAAUGGACCCACAACUGCAUACAUUUAUUCUUAGGCAUGGUUUCGGCUACUGCAACUGCUAUGGGGCUGUCAAAGCUGUCCAUCACACAGCCCCCCUCAAGUAUCAGAAGUUUUAUUACUGCCACAUUGGUUACAACAGUAAGCAGUAUGCAUUCAGAGCCUCAGUGGAAAGGACUCAGUGGCACUAGUCGUCUCAACAGUGCAGAAGGAAGUGCACAUGUAGGUGUCUGCAGGAGCAGAAAGGAAGGAAGGUUCUGAACCUUUACUAAAAUUGUACAUGUAACAUUAUUUUCAUUAUGUUUUUCAUACUCUAAUAAAGGAUUGAAUGCAGAUGCUUAGUGCAGUAUAAUCAUAUGAUCAAUAGUAUUUUCUGUUUCAAAAAUGUUAUAGUCAAAGAUCCCAAUCUUUUCACGGCUCUUAGCCACUCUAAACCCCUUGAAAAUAGAGUGGGGUUCUGUGCUGAAGUUGCAGACCAUUCUAGCAUCAUAGCUUGCAGCAUCCGUAAGCUAAAAAUGGGGGCUUACACCCAUAAAAUACUUCAACUGUAUAAGUCAAUGAAGUGCAGCUUGGAAGAAAUACCAUUUCAAUACCUGCCUGUCAUUUUUUUGCUGUCUCCAAGGGGUUUUAUUCUUCUUUACACUGCCCUCAAAUACACCUUUUCAGCUAAAGACACAAGCAUGUGGACAGCUCUUUGUUUUGUUUUUUCUUCCAACCAAUGCUUUUGUGUAUUUCUGAAACUUAAGACACCUCCUCUGCUACUACAGUACUUAUCUGUAACACCAUCGCUCUGAGGGAUUAAAGCAGGUUACUUGUUACACACUUAGAUCAAGAGUUAUCUGAGUAGAAAGUCUAUCCCGUUAGGGUUGGCGGAAUCUGUUUUUGAUCUUGAGUUGUUUUGAUUUUCUCUGAGAGCAAGUAACAUGUUAUUUUAACUUCUGAAUAAGGUGUGCUACCUGACUGUGUCUCUUCUGUUUGGCAGAAAGGAUUAGAAACCUCCACGGAACUUGCACUCUAUUAAAGCAGAGUGCUCGCCAUUGAGAACCAAGGAGCUGAAUUGUUUUCAGAUUGUGUGUGUGUGUGUGUGUGUGUGUGUGUGUGUGUGUGUCUUUCCCACAUCAAAGACUUUGAUGGAAGCUGUUCACGCUAUUGUCAGGAAUGCAGGGACUGGCACAAAGGUGAUUAGUAAAAUUGCUUUUCUGCAGGAGAAGCUCAAAAUUUAUCAAAAGAUUAAAGAGGAUAAAAUCAAAAGGUUAUGCUGAAUUUGGGGUAAAUUUUUCCCUUUUUUUCCAGAUUAUACAUAUUGAUUUGGUUUUGCCUGUAAAAGGUAUGCCAGAAGAAAUCAGAAUUUGAACAUAUUUGAUAUGAGUUCUGUUGAAGGGCAAGGAAAAAACUUCCCUUAAAAAUAAUGCCGGCAGGCCCUAUUCUGUGUGCUUCCAGACCACAUCUGCAAAGAGUUUUUAAUGAGAACGGAAGGCAUCCAGCCAGCAGCCAUUCCCACAGCAGUCACAGGAUCAGGACCUUUAUUCAUAAUUAUGCCAAAGAUUCUGAAAACAAACCAUUUCAUAAAUCAGUUUGUCAUCAGUGAUGUCAUUUGCUUACCUUUCUCGCUACACUCAGCUGACCAAGAUACUAAACUGAGGGGAUCACUUUCAUUAUCCACUUGCUAGGCACAUGCAAUGGUUUCGUAUUUUGAUCAGCAGCUGGGCUGCUUGAAUGGUCCAAGAAAAAAGCAAUAAAAAAUGGAUUGACAAAUAUUUUAGUGUAACAAAACUAACAGCCCAACUUCUGGAAGCUCUCUCCUUUGGAAAACUACAGUGUGAUAAAAAUGUAUCACUUCCCAUAGCCAGCAGAAUUGUCUCAUCUUGCUGUUUUAGACUCUGUUUAUUGUUCAUUUUAUUCCGAGCAGUCAUCUAUUACUUGCUAAGUACUGGCCCUAUACCUAGUCCUUGGCUUUGGGUUUUGAGUUUUGUUUGUUUGUUUUGCUAAUCUGUUAUUUGCUGGAAGUCAUCUAGAUGAUUUUAUGUGUUUUUAACCUCAUUUAUCAAAGUAUUAUCUAAAGCAUCUAUUCAGAAAAUGUUCAUUUUAACUGUUUUCUCAACAAUGACCUUCUUCCUCCCCCCCAGGCCACGUCAAGUUGUCACUCACCAGACAGCUGUGGAAUUUGGAAUCAUUCCUUUUAAACACUUUACAGUUCCAAAUGGUAGAUUUCUAAUGGCACAAUAUGAUUGCCACAAAGAUCUUUAAAUUUCCCAAUCCUCCAGGCUUCAAAGGCUGGACCGUCCUUGAUCUCCUGAAGGAAUGCUUUUGAAUCUUGUGCUUUUAUAGGGACUACCUAUGAAGAUAUUUUAGGGGCUUUUUCCUUUUACACUCAGAGCCUGAGGAACUAAACAUUCAAAUUCCCACUGGCUUCUCUGAGAGGAAGAUCAAGACUUAUGAAGUUGUUUCUAGAGAUUUUCAGCUCAGUUUUCUUAAUUCCACAGGUUGUUCCAAAACUUUUUGGUGUGUUUAGAAAGCAAUAUAAGAGUAUCCUCAGAGCAGCAGUAGUUAUGGUACUCAUUUUACUCUACAUCUGCCUUCCACCUACAUGGCUACAUCAAACAGUCCCUAGCCUUCCAUGAACAAGUCUCACAGUGUCCUAACUCAUCGUGUGCCCAUGGACACAGCUGGGUCCUUUGCUCUAGAGGAUGCACUGCUCUCAUAUAUGAAGCUUCGCUUACAAGGUAAUAAUAUGGAAAGCGAGCAAGCCUACUUGUACUGGCAGUUUUGGAUCUGCCUUGACCAGGCAACCAAGACAGAGCCUAAUCAUCUGCACCAGUUAGUUACAAAUUCACAGGCUCAGAAUUACGAGAGUUCGAGGCUUGCUUCAUCUCUCUUCCCCUACAGUAGAGGCAACGUUCCACUAGUAGUUCUUUCUAGCACAGUAGUCUUUUUUCAGUCAGUAGGCUCACAUUUUCUAUUUCUCACUGGUUAAUUCUGUCUUUCCUUAUCACUGAAACUUCAAAUGGCUGGAUUUCUGUUAAGAUUUAUAGCGUAGCCAAGCCAUGAGGCAAAUUCUGCCCUCAACACCAGCCUCUUCCAGGAUGGAGGGCUUGAGAGUGAGAUGGGAGUAUUCAAGGGAUCUGUUAUUAGUGAAGCACAUACAUUUAGUCAACAGGUAAAGAAUGUAUAGAAUAAGUUAGCCCUCUGUCCAUACACUGAGGGCUCUAGUCCUGCAAUAGGCUACCACGUGUGUGCGAGGUCCCACCUAGCAGAUUCAUCUGCAGGUUUGGGGCCCUCGGUUGUAAAUUCCUUGGGACAAAGUACUGUGUCUUCUACAUUGCUACAGUAGCUCAUGUGACAUGACCUCUGCUGUGAUUGCAGACUCUCAGGUAUUAUUAUAAGUAAUAACUAAUGAUCAGUCACUGUGGUAAGUAUAUGUUUAGAUAUCCCAUAUUGCUAAUGCAUGUGAUUUUUAAAUAGGCCUCAGCCUAAUCUCAGCUUUUGUGACAACAACAAACUGCAGGAACAACUAAUUACUACCCCGAUUUAUGGGUCAGGGAACAGGCCUUAGAUCCUCAUUUACACAAGUUUCUUAUGAUCAUGCAAGGCCUACCUCUCCAAUGCUAUUUUUUGUUUGUUUGUUUAGAUCAGUUAAAAAAAAAUCCCACAUCCCAAAAUAGAGAAUGUUUUCCUUUGGAACUGGAAGCAAACACACUUGAUGGCUUUAACAUCCGCUGGACAAUGCGUGGAUGGGAGGUUUGCAAUGAACUCAUCAUUCUUAACAUGCCUGAAUUAUUAGCAGCAUUAUAUUGAAAUGCAGCUCGAAAGACAAAGCAGCCAGGCUGAGCAAGACACCUGCAAUUCUGCGUAAAGAAGAAAGGGCUUCUGACUUCCAAACCUCAUUUGUGACUCUUGAAACUGAAUUUACUAUUAUAUGAUGACUGGCUAGUCACAAUGCUUCUCAUAGAUCAUUCCCCUCACCUAUAGCCAUGCUUCAGCUGUUUGGCGACUGCAAGCCUUGUAACUGCAUUAGUAACAGCAGGAAGAAAAUACCUUUUAAAAAAGGGUGGCGCGGGAGGCUGACAGUGCUUUUUCCUGAUGCUUAUCUCUCUUCAUGCACACAAACAUACAAAUGUGCUUUUUCAGCAGGAACCUCUGCACAAGGAAUCAGUGAAGACAUCUACUUGUGUGUUAUUAUUUUCCGGCGCUCGCUCUGAAGUGCAAGGCCCAUUUGCUUAGUGGAUGUCCCAACAGGUGUUUGGCGGUGCAGGUGUGUGCGCGGGCAGAGCCCUGAGCACAAGCACAGACAAAGAUUCAAAUACCAGGGCCUUUCAGGCUGAACCUGACACUGCCACUUUAAAAUCAGAGACACUAACAUCAAAGUUUUCCACUCCCCAGAAGGAAUGGACUAUUUUGCACCCUUCCAAACGAUGUCUCUCAUCUCUCUGCCUUUCCUACAGCCUUGUUUCUCUCUCUCUCUCUCUCUCUCUCUCUCAUACACACACUUUUUCUAAUACCAUCCCUCCCUCUCCACUUCAAACCAUGGGAAAAACCUAGGAAAAGAAGCUUGCCGACUAAGGGACCGUUUCGCUGCAUUGUGUUUUCCAGCUAGACCUGAACAGACUGAAAUCAAUUCAGCUCUCUCGCUCUCUCUCUCCCUCCCUCUCCCAUGUCUUUUUUUGUUUCUCUUAGAUCGUACUCUCUGCCUUAAGAAAGCCCAGUUUAGCUAUAUCCAUCCCCAUAGCAAUCAAGUGACCAGUAGUUUUUAUUGCUUGUAAAAACACAGUAUCUUUUUCAUGGGAGUCAGGUUUUCCUUUGGUUCAAAAUGCCUCGUGAGCAGUGGUAACAAUCCACAGAAUCUUUGAUCAGUUCUCACAUAUCCAUUUUAAGUAUCUUUAGUAGACCUGUCAUCAGAAAAAUUAAGAGCUUAGUAAUUAAUAUUUUAAUAUAUUAUGUCACCCUCUCAUUGCAUUAUUGGCAGGAGGCCUGAUUUAACAGAAACACACACAAAUAUCUGUAUCUGAUCUGAAUCACUACAUGCUCUAAAAAAUAUACAUUAUUAAAGUUGAAGUCCAGCUGUUGCUAUAUUAA
Long non-coding RNA from Dromaius novaehollandiae (emu), 7501 nucleotides. RefSeq lists it as uncharacterized. The transcript is spliced from 4 exons. The record is from RefSeq and is a predicted model, not a curated record. NCBI's taxonomy places the organism in Eukaryota, Metazoa, Chordata, Aves, Casuariiformes, Dromaiidae.